Non-coding RNA from Otolemur garnettii (small-eared galago), 297 nucleotides. The record is from Rfam. NCBI's taxonomy places the organism in Eukaryota, Metazoa, Chordata, Mammalia, Primates, Galagidae.
GCCAGGUAUGGUGGUGUGCACCUGUAGUCCCAGCUACUGGGGAGGCUGAGGUGGAAGGCUCACUCGAGCCCAGGAGCCAGGGGUUGUAGCACACCAUUCCCAAAGGGUGUUCCACUAAGUUUGGCAUCAAUAUAGUGACCACCAGGAGUGGGAAGACCACCAGAUUGCCUAAGGAAGAAUGAACCUGCCCACGUUGGAAAUAGGUUGUCAAAACUCCUGUGCUGAUCAGUAGUGGGAUCUCACCUGUGAAUAGCCACUGCGUUCUAGCCUGGGAAACAUAGCGAGAUCCCAGCUCUU